AAAAGUGUUGCUCUAAUUUUCUUCCUACUUUGAGGUUUUUGGUGAUUCAUUUCUCUUUGGAAUAAUUGUUUGGUUUGAUCUCAUACUUAAAUUGCUCUGCAUUUCUCAUAAGAUGUCAGUAUGCUGAAAGCUCGCUGGUUCCAGCAAUAUGCCAAUGUUAAUUUUGCAUUUGAACUGGUUACUGUGUGCAAGCCAAACAUUAACAGGGGUGGUUGCAAAUGUCUCAAUCUUUUUGCAAAGAAUGUUGACUUUUUUUUUUUUAAUGGUGUUGUUUAUGGAUACAGUAAUAGGAAACUUAUUUUUGCACACAAUGGAGGCUACACCUGUGAUACAAUACAAGGCCUCUAUGGAGUCAUAAGGCCGUUCAGAAAGGCUUCCAACUCCUUGCAGGCCUUGAAGAAGUUGCUCACCUGUGAAAGCUUUGCCAGUAGAAACUUGUUUGAAGGAAAGCAGAUCCAGAUAGCUCUUGUGGGCAGUCAUUCUGUUGACACUCAGGAGUUGCAGAAGAGGACAAGAGGAGGAUGAGAGUGGGGAUGCCUCAAAAAGCAAAUACUGAAAGAGGUAAGUGUUUUAUAAGCUCUUCUUGCCUGACAUAGAUAACAGGGAUAGUUAUUUAUAGUUAUUCUUUAGGGGAAAAAAAUUGUUUAAAAAUGUUGCUAAGGCUUCUGGUGGAUACAAAUGGUGGUCAAUGUGACUUUUUUUUUUUUCUUCUAAAAAAUAAAAUACAAAUGGGGAUGGUUAAGUUGGUGUAU
RNAcentral lists this long non-coding RNA (752 nucleotides) under Anas platyrhynchos platyrhynchos (common mallard). RNAcentral describes it as "lncRNA (ENSAPLG00000024714.1)". The record is from RNAcentral. Lineage: Eukaryota; Metazoa; Chordata; Aves; Anseriformes; Anatidae.